Molecule: ribosomal RNA, 417 nt
Filed under: Triticum aestivum (bread wheat)
Lineage: Eukaryota; Viridiplantae; Streptophyta; Magnoliopsida; Poales; Poaceae
Description: partial small subunit ribosomal RNA
Source: RNAcentral
AUGAAUAGAUCCUGGAAUAUUUUAAACUGGAAUGUGAGAGGUAUAAACUCCAGUGAUAAGUGGCUUGCAAUUUCUAAUAAAAUUGAAGAAUCACAGUGCUCAGUUAUCUGUCUGCAAGAAACCAAAAGAGAAGUUUUUGACAUCUCUUAUUUAAGAAAAUUUGCCCCAAAAAGAAUCAAUAAAUUUGAGUUCUCACCCUCUAUAGGGGCUUCUGGGGGUCUGCUUGUGGCUUGGAGUGAUGCUAUGUUUCAAGGAGAAUGUCUGUUUAAAAAUGAUUUCUCUCUUUCAAUGAGGUUUAUUUCAGUGCACACAGGAGAAUCAUGGAUCCUAACUAAUAUUUAUGGUCCCUGUGAUGAGGAAGGGAGACAUUUAUUUCUGGACUGGUUCAAAAACAUUCAGAUGCCUGUGGAAACAAAC